AGGUCUUCCCUUGUGGAAGAG
This 21-nucleotide small nuclear RNA is filed under the name Arabidopsis thaliana (thale cress). RNAcentral's name for it is "snRNA_14978". Lineage: Eukaryota; Viridiplantae; Streptophyta; Magnoliopsida; Brassicales; Brassicaceae. The record is from RNAcentral.